AGCGCAGGUGGUUCCUUAAGUCUGAUGUGAAAGCCCACGGCUCAACCGUGGAAGGUCAUUGGAAACUGGGGAACUUGAAUGCAGAAGAGGAGAGUGGAAUUCCAUGUGUAGCGGUGAAAUGCGUAGAUAUAUGGAGGAACACCAGUGGCGAAGGCGACUCUCUGGUCUGUUAUUGACACUGAGGCUCGAAAGCGUGGGGAGCAAACA
Molecule: ribosomal RNA, 207 nt
Filed under: uncultured Lactobacillales bacterium
Lineage: Bacteria; Bacillati; Bacillota; Bacilli; Lactobacillales
Description: partial 16S ribosomal RNA
Rfam family: Bacterial small subunit ribosomal RNA
Source: RNAcentral